This 537-nucleotide long non-coding RNA is filed under the name Suricata suricatta (meerkat). Its description in RNAcentral is "lncRNA (ENSSSUG00005002225.1)". Lineage: Eukaryota; Metazoa; Chordata; Mammalia; Carnivora; Herpestidae. The record is from RNAcentral.
AGCCCACAACCCAUAUUGUGUUCUAUCUAGACUAGCCUUUGCCCACUUCUACCAUGGAAGUGAAGUGACUUAUGAGUCAAGAGGUACAGACGGCCUUGGACGCACUGAAUAAAUACAAAUAAUGGUGAUUCAUCACAAAUCAAAGUGGCUCAUCAGUAACUGAAACUUACUUCUGAAUAAAAGGGAACAAUUUACAAACAUCAAAAAGCAAAAAAUAAAAGAGCAAUACCUUGCAGAAGAUGUCGUUGCUCCCUGUUGCUAUAAGCUAAGUAAAUUGUAGCCAUUUCCCAAAUGUACCUGGAGAAGAAAUGAUUUUGGAAGAAAUCUGCUCAGCUGCUCCAUGUUGCAGCACCUUAGAGAGGCUAAGCCCAUGAGACCCCUUGGUCAAUCCUUGGGAAAAGUGGAGGGAGGAAGAAAUAGACGAGCACACAAGUGAAAAGGCCUAGUGACGGACCCUGGAUGACUGGAGCCAUGCCAGGCAUUUGCGACAACCACUUUGAAAAAACAGUUCCAGAAUCAUCCUGAGCCCUGGCUGGC